Long non-coding RNA from Rhododendron vialii, 392 nucleotides. RefSeq lists it as uncharacterized. The transcript has 2 exons. The record is from RefSeq and is a predicted model, not a curated record. Lineage: Eukaryota; Viridiplantae; Streptophyta; Magnoliopsida; Ericales; Ericaceae.
GGAAAGAGCAAAUUGUUGCAAUUCUUUCAUUUUAUGAAUAUCUCAAUGAGCUUACUCAUAUGUAUGGAUUAUAUGCAAGGUUCGGAGGCAACAACGAGUACCUCAGCUCCACGUAGGGAGUGACUUUAUUGGUUUUCUUUUUGUUGGAGACCGAGUUUUGCAGGUAUAGGUCGGUGUCCACUACAGGUCGCGUUUUGCAUUUUGUGACUCGCUCGAGAAGUGCGUAGUUGAGGCCUGUGGGAGUCUUCGUCUCCUGGCCCGUAGAUGAUUUUUGCUUAGUUUAGUUCUGGAUAAUAGUUGGUUAUGUAAAGUUUAUUUAUUGUCAGACUUCCGCUGUAGUUUGUAAAAUGACAAUCAUUUUUGAGAUGUAAAUAAAAUGUGGCUGUUAAACU